RNAcentral lists this small RNA (641 nucleotides) under Cryptococcus neoformans H99. RNAcentral's name for it is "Cryptococcus neoformans var. grubii H99 hypothetical RNA". Lineage: Eukaryota; Fungi; Basidiomycota; Tremellomycetes; Tremellales; Cryptococcaceae. The record is from RNAcentral.
CGAUCAUCCCUCCAUCCUAUUCAUCUAUCUGAAUACAAUUCCCAGCGCAGCGUUAUCCUAUUUGGGCAUCAUGAUCUUGAUCCCGUCUCCCAGGUGUUAGUCACGACUCGCUGUGAUUUGCUCCACUGCAUUGGUUCGAUAUCUUCCAAACAGAUUUCUCCCAUUGUAAUGGCUGACCAAGUUCCCAUGCGGCUUGUCCUGGAACUCAAUGUCCGGUGUGGAGCCAUCAGGAAGACUCCUGACAUCAAACAGGGGGUCACGAUGAUCUAACUCCUUCCUGAGAGAAUCAACGUUUUCGAAAAUCCCACCCUCCAGUUUGACUACUUCAAGUUCAGUUCCGCGGAGACGGUUGCAAAGGUUCGCGAAGGGGAAUGGCUGGCUCUCAGGCAGUAGACAGUCUCGUCAAUGGUUCUGUUAUAAGGGACGGAGAGAAGAUAGUGUUUAGCAGAACGAAAGAAGGAGACGAGAGGCGGAGAGAACGGGGGAAUCGGGGUGGUGAAAUUAGUCGAGGAGAAGAGGAAGAACAGAGAAACAGAGAAGGGAAGAGGAAAUUGGAUUAGAAGAGGGCCUCGGAAGAUCACAGUCGAAGGAAGAAAGAGGAAAAGGGUGCUCGAGGGAGGAGAAAGAUUGGUCAGUUGUAC